GUGGGUAUAGCUCAGUGGUAGAGCAUAUGCUUAGUAUGCAUGAGGUCCUGGUUCAAUCCCCAGAACCUCCA
This 71-nucleotide transfer RNA is filed under the name Camelus bactrianus (Bactrian camel). It matches the Rfam family "tRNA". From Rfam's summary of the family: Transfer RNA (tRNA) molecules are approximately 80 nucleotides in length. Their secondary structure includes four short double-helical elements and three loops (D, anti-codon, and T loops). Lineage: Eukaryota; Metazoa; Chordata; Mammalia; Artiodactyla; Camelidae. The record is from Rfam by way of RNAcentral. RNAcentral also lists the same sequence under 2 other names.